CAACCCUUGUCACUAGUUGCCAUCAUUUAGUUGGCACUCUAGUGAGACUGCCGGUGACAAACCGGAGGGAAGGUGGGGAUGACGUCAAGUCCUCAUGGCCCUUAUGGGUAGGGCUUCACACGUCAUACAAUGGUCGGUACAGAGGGUUGCCAAGCCGCGAGGUGGAGCCAAUCCCUUAAAGCCGAUCGUAGUCCGGAUCGUAGUCUGCAACUCGACUACGUGAAGUCGGAAUCGCUAGUAAUCGCAGAUCAGCAUGCUGCGGUGAAUACGUUCCCGGGUCUU
Molecule: ribosomal RNA, 282 nt
Filed under: uncultured Thauera sp.
Lineage: Bacteria; Pseudomonadati; Pseudomonadota; Betaproteobacteria; Rhodocyclales; Zoogloeaceae
Description: partial 16S ribosomal RNA
Rfam family: Bacterial small subunit ribosomal RNA
Source: RNAcentral